Molecule: RNA transcript, 1914 nt
Organism: Solanum pennellii
Lineage: Eukaryota; Viridiplantae; Streptophyta; Magnoliopsida; Solanales; Solanaceae
Gene name: integrin-linked protein kinase 1
Exons: 13
Source: RefSeq, a predicted model, not a curated record
UCCUUUAUGCUUCUCAACGAAAAUUCCAACUCAUAGUAUCCACCUUUGCUUCUCAUUCGUUCUUAGUUGAUUCGUUUCAGAUAGAUUGUUCUAGAAUCGUCUCGAAUUCUUCGAUUACUCAUACCAUAAUUGCGUAAACAGUUGAAGUUUUUCACUAUGGAGUCAAAGUCGCAGUCAAGGUUUCCGCUGGGUAGACAAUCAUCUCUGGCGCCGGAGAAAGACGGCGUUUCAGACGACUCAGUUACCGCCGGCCAUGGAGUCGAUGAAGGUAUGGAUUCCGGUUUGAGGUUAAUGUACAUGACUAAUGACGGUGAUUUGGAAGGUAUGGAGGAACUUUUGGACUCCGGUACCAGUGUGAACUACAGGGAUAUAGAUGGACGGACUGCGUUGCAUAUUGCCGCUUGCCAGGGUUACGCUGAUGUUGUUGAUUUUCUGCUUAAAAAUGGCGCUCAGGUGGAUUCCAUGGAUCAAUGGGGCAGUACGCCUCUUGCAGAUGCAAUAUAUUACAAGAAUAAUGAUGUGGUCAAGCUUUUGGAAGUACAUGGAGCGAAACCUGCGGUGGCUCCCAUGCAUGUAGAAAAUGUUCGUGAAAUUCCAGAGUAUGAAAUUGAUCCAAGAGAACUUGAUUUUAGUAAUAGUGUAAACAUAACAAAGGGUACGUAUUGUGUUGCUCUGUGGCGUGGAACUGAGGUUGCUGUUAAGAAACUUGGUGAAGAAUUAUUCACCGACGAAGAUAAAGUCAAGGCAUUUGGGGAUGAGCUUGCCUUAGUACAGAAGAUACGCCACCCAAAUGUAGUCCAGUUUCUUGGUGCUGUGACACAGAGUAGCCCAAUGAUGAUCGUCACAGAGUAUCUGUCUAAGGGAGAUCUUCGUGCAUUCCUGAAACGGAAAGGUGCAUUAAAGCCAAUAAUGGCUGUGAAGUUUGCACUGGAUAUUGCAAGAGGAAUAAACUACUUGCAUGAGAAUAAACCUGAAGCAAUAAUUCAUCGAGACCUGGAGCCCGAAAACAUAUUACGGGAUGAUUCUGGACUUCUGAAAGUUGCAGAUUUUGGACUUAGUAAGCUGAUGAAAUUUACCAAAACUGUCAGGGAAGUUAGACCAUUGGCGCGUCAAGAGGAUUCAUGGAGAUAUGUUGCUCCAGAAGUUCUUAAGCAUGAGGAGUAUGAUACCAAGGUGGAUGUUUUCUCAUUUGCUUUGAUAUUGCAAGAGAUGAUUGAAGGCUGUCCACCAUUUUCCACGAAGCAGGAAAUUGAGGUGGCCAAAGCAUAUGUUGCAAAUGAACGCCCUCCCUUUAAAGCUUCACAAAAGUUAUAUGCUCAUGGAUUGAGAGAGUUAAUUGAGGAUUGCUGGGAGGAGCAACCAUCAAAAAGACCGACUUUUCAGCGAAUAAUUAUCAGGUUGGAAGAAAUCAACCGUAUUCUUUUGCAUAGAAGACGUUGGAAGACGAAGUGUAGCAUUAAAAAGGAGAAAGGAGGCACUGGUUAAGAGCAUUCCUUCAAUACUCUGAGCUAUAGAAUGUCCUUAUUGGCAGUACUGGUGAAUUGAUGUUCGUGCUCAAAGGCUGAUAAAAUUAGGCAUGGGCACUUAAUUUUUUUCAGAAACUGAAGGCCAUCUUGAAGUUUGAUCAUUCGAAUUCAAAGAGUCACUAGUCUCGCCCAACCUUCUGAUGAGAUGUGCUUGCAUUGCAGCGACAUUUUUGAUCGAUUAAUUCUUAUCGUAUAUGCUUUCCAACGUUUAUUUCAUCUUCUUUUUUCUUUCUUUUGGGCGACUAUGGUUUGGAGAGAGGUUGACUAUGGCUUCCAUUGAUGUCCUCUAUUUAGGAUUAAAUGUCAAUACUUUUGACUAUGGCUUCCAUUGCUGUACAAAUUUUAGCAAACACUUUUUUAUCUAGAAUGAAAAAUUUCUUAUUUUUCA